Molecule: ribosomal RNA, 253 nt
Filed under: uncultured bacterium
Lineage: Bacteria
Description: partial 16S ribosomal RNA
Rfam family: Bacterial small subunit ribosomal RNA
Source: RNAcentral
UACGGAGGUCCCAAGCGUUGUUCGGAAUUACUGGGCGUAAAGGGAGCGCAGGCGGAACGGUCAGUCUGAAGUGGAAGCCCGGGGCUUAACCUCGGAAGUGCUUCGGAUACUGCCGUUCUUGAGUACGUGAGAGGAAGGCGGAAUUCAGGGUGUAGCGGUGAAAUGCUUAGAUAUCCUGAGGAACACCAGUGGCGAAAGCGGCCUUCUGGCACAAUACUGACGCUGAGGCUCGAAAGCGUGGGGAGCGAACUGG